This 880-nucleotide long non-coding RNA is filed under the name Homo sapiens (human). Its description in RNAcentral is "novel transcript". The record is from RNAcentral. Lineage: Eukaryota; Metazoa; Chordata; Mammalia; Primates; Hominidae.
UGUGGUAGAAGCCCUUUUGGCUGCUUGCAUCAGUGGUUACAAGGAAGAAAUCAGGGAUACAUUUGCAAUAAAGAGAAAUAAUCUGCUGGGCACGGUGGCUUACAUCUGUAAUCCCAGUACUUUGGGAAGCCGAGGCAGGCAGGUCACCUGAGGUCAGGAGUUCGAGACCAGCCUGACCAACAUGGAGAAACCUCAUCUCUACUAAAAAAAGACAAAAUUAGCUGGGCGUGAGCCACUGUGCCUGGCCUUUAAAAGCUUUUCAGUUGAAAGGUAAUCUUGGAACACAGGUGGGUUCCAGUUGCUUGGAGCAUGAGGAACACCUGAUUGAAUGUCCUAACGUCAGACGUGUGUCUGCAAGUGGAAAGUGAAGCCUGCUGCAGGAAGAGGGAGGUGGUUGGUGCUUCCUAGAAGGGGUGGGCCUUUAAUGACUGCACCUGCACAGUGCUAUCAGGUCCUUAUUGUGGGACCGAAUCACUGACAUCCUAAUGAAAAAAUUAGCUAGGCCAUUUGCAGGUACAAGAGCACAGGUGGUCCUUGUGCUCUUUUUUGAUUCGUUUGAAGGUAGGUGUGAUUUGCCUUCAGGACUUCAUCAGCAACAAUAGGAUUUGAAUAAGUGGAUAGGCUGCUGUAUGUGGUUGUGUACAAUUUUUAAAGGGCUCUUGUACACAGGGUGGGGUGUGGGCAGGGAGAACAAAGCAUGGUCCCCAGUGAUGUUUAGUAAAAAUAUGUCUAGAAAGUUAAUAAAACUCUGGUCUGUGCUUAAGGCAAUAACAACAUGAGUCUCUGGCAUGAAUCUGUGUCCUGUUUAGAGGACAGGUUGUUUGUAAUCAACCCUUAUUCUGUCAUCUAGAGUUCCGUGUUUUAAGCAAUGAAGACAGAA